UAGGGAAUCUUCGGCAAUGGACGAAAGCCUGACCGAGCAACGCCGCGUGAGUGAAGAAGGUUUUCGGAUCGUAAAACUCUGUUGUUAGAGAAGAACAAGGACGUUAGUAACUGAACGUCCCCUGGCGGUAUCUAACCAGAAAGCCACGGCUAACUACGUGCCAGCAGCCGCGGUAAUACGUAGGUGGCAAGCGUUGUCCGGAUUUUUUGGGCGUAAAGCGAGCGCAGGCGGUUUCUUAAGUCUGAUGUGAAAGCCCCCGGCUCAACCGGGGAGGGUCAUUGGAAACUGGGAGACUUGAGUGCAGAAGAGGGGGGUGGAAUUCCAUGUGUAGCGGUGAAAUGCGUAGAUAUAUGGAAGAACACCGGUGGCGAAGGCGGCUCUCUGGUCUGUAACUGACGCUGAGGCACGAAAGCGUGGGGAGCAAACAGG
This 429-nucleotide ribosomal RNA is filed under the name Gemmatimonadota bacterium. RNAcentral describes it as "Gemmatimonadetes bacterium partial 16S ribosomal RNA". It matches the Rfam family "Bacterial small subunit ribosomal RNA", at positions 355 to 776 of the family's 1533-position model. Lineage: Bacteria; Pseudomonadati; Gemmatimonadota. The record is from RNAcentral.